UACGAAGGGAGCUAGCGUUGUUCGGAAUCACUGGGCGUAAAGCGCACGUAGGCGGAUUUGUCAGUCAGGGGUGAAAUCCCGGGGCUCAACCUCGGAACUGCCUUUGAUACAGCAAGUCUUGAGUUCGAGAGAGGUGGGAGGAAUUCCUAGUGUAGAGGUGAAAUUCGUAGAUAUUAGGAAGAACACCGGUGGCGAAGGCGGCCCACUGGCUCGAUACUGACGCUGAGGUGCGAAAGCGUGGGGAGCAAACAGG
Molecule: ribosomal RNA, 253 nt
Filed under: uncultured bacterium
Lineage: Bacteria
Description: partial 16S ribosomal RNA
Rfam family: Bacterial small subunit ribosomal RNA
Source: RNAcentral